AAUGAAGUAAAAUGAUAACCAGAAAAGGAAUUUUCCCUUUUCACCUUUCAGACAAGUGAAAAUCCACAGAAUGGAGAUGGAAACCUAGGCUUACAUAAGGACUGAAAAGAACACCAUGCCCCCAAAUGAUAAAUCAUUGAUUACAUCCUCAUCUGAUGGCUGAAGGUCAGGAAUUGUACCCAUUUCCUUGCCUCAGGAAAAAUUGUUGACGUUUUCUUCUUUAUCAGUGCUAGAUCCUGGACAUUUCAAGCUGACAUCUUUUGAAUAACCAGGGCACAAGAAAGCAGGAAUUUUUCUAUAAGGAUCAGGUAGAGUCGAUUCUUCUACCUUAAUUGAGUUGUAAUUUAGAGGUUUCUGUUUUGCUUUGUUUUGUUUUCAUAAAGAACCCUUAAAAAUUAGCCCCCUAGGCAGAUAAUCUGAAGCAGUUGAAUUAUGGAACAAAGUACGAGUGGCUGUGGAGUCACAGGUAAUUUUUGUCUGUCAAUGAAGAAUAAAUUACUACCUGUGAACCCAAAUAUGUAUAAGCAGGAAGUCAAACAACCACUAGGGUAGUUUAGAUAUUGCUGAAACCGUUUAUCAAAUGUGGGGGUUUUUUGAAUCUUAUAAACUAAGCUACCAAAACACAGGGUGAUUCUGCAAUUUCUUCUCUGAGAUAAAUACAGCUGCUAUAGAAAGCAAAAUUGGAAGGAGAGACAAGAAGCUUUUUAUUCAUGGAAAAUUUGGAUUUUUGCAGUAAAUUUGAAAUGGAUACAAAGCCAUAUAUCUGUGCUGUGUCUUUUCUGAAAAAGAAAAAAAUAUGUAAAUGAAGGACAGAGCUUCUAAAACAAACCACUGUGCAUUGCAUGAAGAAAAUACUAUACUGGAUUUUCUACUGAACAUAAAGAAACCAGAAGUACUUUCCACAUUUCUAGUAAUCAGUGUUGACUACAAUAUGAAUAAAUAUGAAUGGCAGCCAAUCUUCUACCAACUCUUCAUACCAGAGUAUUACAAAGGGCAGAGGAAGGUAUAUGCUAUUGUCUUGGCAUUUUGGACACUACUAUCUGUGGAGUUAAAAACAAUAAAACAAC
RNAcentral lists this long non-coding RNA (1067 nucleotides) under Callithrix jacchus (white-tufted-ear marmoset). RNAcentral describes it as "lncRNA (ENSCJAG00000074688.1)". Lineage: Eukaryota; Metazoa; Chordata; Mammalia; Primates; Cebidae. The record is from RNAcentral.